UGUCCGCCUGGACCAGUACUUGGGCCUAUCUCAUUUUGGGUUUUUGGCCCAAUUCUUGCCAUUUUUGUACCUGUCCUAAACCUCUAACAAAAUAAUAAUAAUAGAAGUAAAAGGGCUUAGGCCCAAACAUAACAAAAUACAACUUUUAGAAUCAAGAGUGGGCCUUUGGCCCAAUCUUUCCAAAUUUUCGAUCUGCUGCAAUCUGUUGCAUACUCUUCCAGGACCUGUUUAUC
RNAcentral lists this long non-coding RNA (233 nucleotides) under Solanum tuberosum (potato). RNAcentral describes it as "long non-coding RNA (STUB_LNC004932)". The record is from RNAcentral. Lineage: Eukaryota; Viridiplantae; Streptophyta; Magnoliopsida; Solanales; Solanaceae.